GAUGAACGCUAGCGGCAGGCUUAACACAUGCAAGUCGAGGGGCAGCAUAUUUUGUAGUAAUACAAGAUGAUGGCGACCGGCGCACGGGUGCGUAACGCGUAUGAAACCUACCAUAUACAGGGGGAUAAACUUUCGAAAGGGAGCCUAAUACCCCAUAGUAUUAUUUUUAGGCAUCUGAGAAUAAUUAAAGAUUAAUUGGUAUAUGAUGGGCAUGCGUGUCAUUAGCUAGUUGGUAAGGUAACGGCUUACCAAGGCGACGAUGACUAGGGGUUCUGAGAGGAAGAUCCCCCACACUGGUACUGAGACACGGACCAGACUCCUACGGGAGGCAGCAGUGAGGAAUAUUGGUCAAUGGGCGAGAGCCUGAACCAGCCAUGCCGCGUGCAGGAAGACGGCCCUAUGGGUUGUAAACUGCUUUUAUGUGAGGAUAAACCUAUUCUUGCGAGAGUAGCUGAAGGUAUCACAUGAAUAAGGAUCGGCUAACUCCGUGCCAGCCGCCGCUGUAA
RNAcentral lists this ribosomal RNA (506 nucleotides) under uncultured bacterium. Its description in RNAcentral is "partial 16S ribosomal RNA". It matches the Rfam family "Bacterial small subunit ribosomal RNA", at positions 28 to 523 of the family's 1533-position model. The record is from RNAcentral.